Molecule: non-coding RNA, 78 nt
Filed under: uncultured Niallia sp.
Lineage: Bacteria; Bacillati; Bacillota; Bacilli; Caryophanales; Bacillaceae
Description: Cyclic di-GMP-I riboswitch
Rfam family: c-di-GMP-I riboswitch aptamer
About the family: GEMM was predicted in a large-scale screen for bacterial structured RNA regulatory elements.
Source: RNAcentral
GGGCAAACCCAUUGAAAGGUGGGGACGCAAAGCUUCAGAUCUAAGGAAUAGUUAUUAUUCUAAGAUAGCUGGGUUGCA